UCAUAUCAGUGAAAAAAAAGAUGAGAACGAAAGCAUAAUUCUAUAGAGGUAGAAAAUGAAAUCACUUAUGGAGAGUCAAUAGUAAGCAAAUCGAGAGCAAAAAACCCAAUUUCCUUUCGUCAUUAUACAAUUGAUGUUGCCUAUUUGGUUUUGGUAAUUUAUAUCGGCCGCAAAACUUAAUUUCUUUUUGUGCAUAUAAAAUUUUAAAAAUAAUUAAAAUGAGAUGUAAUACAUUAACUCUUCAACAAGGAUGAUAUAUUUAAGAGACCAAAAUUUGUAUUCAUCAUUUUAUAAUCGAGAAAAAUUGUAGUGUUGCAAAAUAUUAAAAUCAUUUCAUAAACAAAAUUAUUAUAAGAACUCAGUCCGCGUUAUCAUCUAAUCUAUAUUUAAAUCGUCAUGAUUAUUAAAUAAACACUACAUGAAAAAAUAAUAAAAAGUACAAUAUACAUAAGUGAUGUUGAGUUGGACGUAAUUUAAUAUUUGUUGUACCUAUUACCUAAUUCUCUCUUUUUCAAAAAAAGUAAAAGCAUUCUUUUUUUCUUUUCUUUUUUUGUAACAGUACAAGCAUUCUUAAAACAAGUUUUUUUCUUUGAGAGUUUGAUAAAACUAUUUUUUAAUUGGACUAUUUGAUCCACAAUAUAGGAGAUCAUGAUAGACUAUUAUUCUACAUGAUUUUGAUAGGGAAUAUGUGAGAAUAGAAGUCUAAAUCUCUAUUAAUGUGACUAUUUGACCUAAUAUAUAUUUUGACUAAAACGAACGAAAAAAAUCUGAAUUGGUACUGUUUAUGUGGUAACUAGUAUUAAAAGAAGAUGCUGUCUGAAUUAGCAAAACUGAUGCUUUGUUUGUUUGAAAAAAGUAUUGUCCAAGGAAAGUUCCUCAUAAAAGGUUGCCAAACAAAAGAAGAAACCAUUGUAUACUUAUUUUUCUCAAUCUCUUCAUCUUUUCAACAAAAAGGAAAAUUAAACACAAUAUGGUUUUGAAAAGUUACAUAUUAUAGUCAUUAGUCACUGGUUAAAAAAUCAUUUGAUUUUUUUUUUAAUUUGAAAAUAACUGUUUUUAAAUGGUUUAAUCUUUCAUAAUUAACAAAUCUAUAAUCUAAAAAUCAGUUCACAAUUACGAAUAUAAAUAGUGCAAUAUAUGAGCUGGUGAUAAAUACAUAAACUGACAACUAAAACAAUAUACUUUGUGACAUAUAUAGAUACACAGUCUUGGAAGAAUGAGUUAUUGCUUAUGAAUUAGAAUAAUUUCCAAAAUACUAAGAAAGAAGAAGACAACGUUGCUUUUGGUGUAAGAAAAAAAAAGUCAUUGACUUCGAUAUUUCUUUUCUGCUCUCUCUCCGUAGUUAACGUUUACGAAGUUGAAGCAGCAGCCGAAGAAGAAGACGACGACUCUUCUCUUUCCAGAUAUUGUGAUUAUCUCAACUCUUCUCUUGCAAUCAAUCUCUUUCUCGAGUUUCUGCUCUUGAAAAUUUCUGCUCAGAAGUAGGAGCUUUGCAUUCAUCAACGCUCUCUUUCACUGAAGAACAUAUGGCAGAAAAUGUUAAAGUGCAUGGAGAUGGAAGUGCAGAGCUGGUUAAAUCCAUGGGUGAUAAUAAAUAUGCUAGUCUCAUGAGACCAGCUGGUAGAUAUUACUCUGCUAUUAAAGAUGCUACGGUUUGUGGGAAGGGAAGAUA
Brassica napus (rape) is the source of this 1672-nucleotide long non-coding RNA. RefSeq lists it as uncharacterized. The transcript is spliced from 4 exons. Lineage: Eukaryota; Viridiplantae; Streptophyta; Magnoliopsida; Brassicales; Brassicaceae. The record is from RefSeq and is a predicted model, not a curated record.